GACGAACGCUGGCGGCGUGCUUAACACAUGCAAGUCGAACGGAAAGGCCCUGCUUUUGUGGGGUGCUCGAGUGGCGAACGGGUGAGUAACACGUGAGUAACCUGCCCUUGACUUUGGGAUAACUUCAGGAAACUGGGGCUAAUACCGGAUAGGAGCUCCUGCUGCAUGGUGGGGGUUGGAAAGUUUCGGCGGUUGGGGAUGGACUCGCGGCUUAUCAGCUUGUUGGUGGGGUAGUGGCUUACCAAGGCUUUGACGGGUAGCCGGCCUGAGAGGGUGACCGGCCACAUGGGGACGGAGAUACGGCCCAGACUCCUACGGGAGGCAGCAGUGGGGAAUAUUGCACAAUGGGCGGAAGCCUGAUGCAGCAACGCCGCGUGCGGGAUGACGGCCUUCGGGUUGUAAACCGCUUUCGCCUGUGACGAAGCGUGAGUGACGGUAAUGGGUAAAGAAGCGCCGGCGAACUACGU
Molecule: ribosomal RNA, 467 nt
Filed under: uncultured bacterium
Lineage: Bacteria
Description: partial 16S ribosomal RNA
Rfam family: Bacterial small subunit ribosomal RNA
Source: RNAcentral